CAGUCGCCGCGGGAAUACGAAGGGUGCAAGCGUUAAUCGGAAUUACUGGGCGUAAAGCGCACGCAGGCGGUCUGUCAAGUCAGAUGUGAAAUCCCCGGGCUUAACCUGGGAACUGCAUUUGAAACUGGCAGGCUAGAGUCUUGUCAGAGGAUGGUGGAAUUCCCGGUGUAGCGGUGAAAUGCGUAGAGAUCGGGAGGAACAUCAGUGGCGAAGGCGGCCAUCUGGGACAACACUGACGCUGAGGCACGAAAGCGUGGGGAGCAAACAGGAUUAGAGACCCCGGUAGUCCCUGUCUCUUAUA
This 301-nucleotide ribosomal RNA is filed under the name uncultured bacterium. RNAcentral's name for it is "partial 16S ribosomal RNA". It matches the Rfam family "Bacterial small subunit ribosomal RNA", at positions 509 to 808 of the family's 1533-position model. The record is from RNAcentral.